GUACUGCUGAAGAGUCCUAAACUAGGACGAAACAGGCGUCCAGUAC
Trichobilharzia regenti is the source of this 46-nucleotide non-coding RNA. Lineage: Eukaryota; Metazoa; Platyhelminthes; Trematoda; Strigeidida; Schistosomatidae. The record is from Rfam.